UGGUAUCCUGUCUGAAUAUGGGGGGACCAUCCUCCAAGGCUAAAUACUCCUGACUGACCGAUAGUGAACCAGUACCGUGAGGGAAAGGCGAAAAGAACCCCGGCGAGGGGAGUGAAAAAGAACCUGAAACCGUGUACGUACAAGCAGUGGGAGCCUCUUUAUGGGGUGACUGCGUACCUUUUGUAUAAUGGGUCAGCGACUUAUAUUCUGUAGCAAGGUUAACCGAAUAGGGGAGCCGAAGGGAAACCGAGUCUUAACUGGGCGUUAAGUUGCAGGGUAUAGACCCGAAACCCGGUGAUCUAGCCAUGGGCAGGUUGAAGGUUGGGUAACACUAACUGGAGGACCGAACCGACUAAUGUUGAAAAAUUAGCGGAUGACUUGUGGCUGGGGGUGAAAGGCCAAUCAAACCGGGAGAUAGCUGGUUCUCCCCGAAAGCUAUUUAGGUAGCGCCUCGUGAAUUCAUCUCCGGGGGUAG
Molecule: ribosomal RNA, 475 nt
Filed under: Escherichia coli
Lineage: Bacteria; Pseudomonadati; Pseudomonadota; Gammaproteobacteria; Enterobacterales; Enterobacteriaceae
Description: partial 23S ribosomal RNA
Rfam family: Bacterial large subunit ribosomal RNA
Source: RNAcentral